GCAAUAUUAAUAUGCAUCUCUGAUUUACUAACAAUCAAGGGUUAAGCCAUAAUGUCUGAAUAAAGAAGUCAGUGUUAAUUUAAUGUUAUCAUAUACUUUUUGUAUCUAACAAUUUUAUGUAGAAAACAUUUUAUCAUUUAUAUGUUGUAUGUGUUUUGCAUUUAUAUUAUUUUACUAUUUAACAAAUCCAAAACAGUAAAAUCAGGUUAAAUGUACCGGUAGCCCAACUUUGCAACUUUGAUUUUUGCAGAAUAAAGCUUUUUAUGUUUUAUUCCAUGCAUCCCACAGAGCUUACUUCCUCCAUGUGGUGUUCUGUGAAUUGCUAUAUAAUAUUUGUGACACUCGGUGAAGCACCCUGCUGUUGUCCUGCGUAUGACCCCCGGUACCCAUCUGUCACAGCAUCUCACCUAUCCAUUCACUCCUCUGUUCCCCCUGGCUUCUUUGGAUCACAGCCAACAGACUCAGAUUGCUGUCUUUUACUCCAGUCAUAAGGAAAUCGAGACUUCAACAAAGGAUGUUGCUCCAGUUCUUGUACCCCGGGGUCUAAUUUAGGAUAAAAGAGUGGUAAAUGCCAUUUACAUAUGUUUAAUAAAGUAUGAAAAUAUCUGGGGAUUACAUUACGUGUUUAGAAUCACUGUGUGUUCGCCGAAGAACAUCUGUAAUUCAAGUUUACAUGGUUCAUUAAUCAAUUAGUAUGUCAACAUUGCUGGUUUUGUUUAUUUUUUUGUUUUUUGCUAACAAAUCCAUAUAUUUAUAUAUAUCUUUUUUUUUGCAUUCUCUCUAGUAUAUUAGUAUAUGGUGGAGGUUUUUUUAAUUUAUUUUCUUACUAAAAACUUGGCAAACGGUAAAACAGAUUUGUAGUGCUCAGCAGUAUGAAACAGAGAAAGAUUAUGAAGUUAUGUUGCGGUACAAAGCCUGACAAUUGUUUCUCAGGUCAGCCAACCUGACCUAAGAAUCAAUUCCUUAACUACGCUUUUCUGCCACCUGAAGCAUAGAAAAUGGUAUCUUAAGAAAGAAACACAGGCGUGUGAUAUAAACGCUUGCUCACAAAAAACCCAGCUGUUUGCUAAAUCAUCUGUUGAAGAAACUAUAGUGCCAAAACUCAUUUUAAAUACCUUGUGUUAAUGCCUCUCAUAUUUAAUCGCUCACUGAACAGAUGUUGGGUUCUUUAAUUAAGUAACCUCUGAGUUUUGUUACCUCCCAGUAAGUGCUAAUGCAAUCUGCUUCACAAACCUGUAACUAGAAUUGCUGAACAUCCUAUUUUCCACGUUGCUGAGCUGAUUCUAAUGAUCACCUGAUAAUGGCCUAUAACAGUAAUAAGUUCUGAGGUGGUAAAGCCAGCAGUCAACAGGUUUAAUCCAACCUGAAAUGCUGAACUUUAUUGUCUAACUUAAAACAUAUUAAUCAUAUAGUCAGGAAACUUUACAUUAUUCAGCUGAUGCUGUGAGAUAAAGGUUUGAUUUCUAUUCCAAUGAAUUUUCUAAAGUUUAGGAUACUAAAUUAAUUCAAAGUACCUAAUUAGUGGACCAAUAGUGACUAUUGUCUCCUGAAGGGCCAUAGCCAGAGGCAAAUGUUUCAAAAGUUUUUUUUUUUUUUUUUUUACAAAACAACUUGAGGUAAUAGCAUUUCUCUAGCAUUUUAAGUUUGGGCAAAGUAGCAGUGACAGCCCCUGUGGUCCGUGACAUUGUUUGUAGGGUUUAAUUAAGUCACAGCCACUCUUGAUGGAGUUAGUUAAAGUCAUGAGCUCCUGUUGACUUUGGAAUGGUUGAGUAAAGCACAUUCAUGUUGUUGCUUUGAUUGUUUGUAAUCAUUAAAGGAUCCGGAGAAGUUAAAGGAAGGGUACAGUGGAUCCAGUGUUAUACCAAAAAGACAAUAGCUAUCUGUAGAAGGUCUGAAUAAAUCUGCUGGAUUACUUAAACUGUAUCCCAUCCUGAGUUAUGGAAGUUCAACCUGCAUAGUAUUAAACCCAAACAGUGCAUCAAAAGAGAAAAUCACACUUAAGAUAAGAUUUGUGUAAAGAAAGCCAUUAAAAAGUUGUAACAUUUUAAAAGGUGUUUUUUUUUCAAUCCAUCUCCUCAGUGAGCACACAUUUCCUCAGGGCUUCUGUAUUUCUGGCAUUGGGACUGAUCAAACAAGACAUUACAUUUAGUAAUUUUGAUGCAUGGAAACUAAUGAGAUGAUUACUGUGUAUUAGAUACAACUUUAAUUCUUAUUCCUUUUUUUAAAAAAUUGGCAAAUAUGAUACAUUGAAAAUUCAUGGGUGGUCAUUACGAA
Molecule: long non-coding RNA, 2274 nt
Organism: Astatotilapia calliptera (eastern happy)
Lineage: Eukaryota; Metazoa; Chordata; Actinopteri; Cichliformes; Cichlidae
Source: Ensembl